CUGCGGAGGAUCAUUAUUGA
This 20-nucleotide ribosomal RNA is filed under the name uncultured Piloderma. RNAcentral's name for it is "partial 18S ribosomal RNA". The record is from RNAcentral. RNAcentral also lists the same sequence under 6 other names. Lineage: Eukaryota; Fungi; Basidiomycota; Agaricomycetes; Atheliales; Atheliaceae.